RNAcentral lists this ribosomal RNA (300 nucleotides) under uncultured Nocardioidaceae bacterium. Its description in RNAcentral is "bacterial SSU rRNA". It matches the Rfam family "Bacterial small subunit ribosomal RNA", at positions 114 to 414 of the family's 1533-position model. Lineage: Bacteria; Bacillati; Actinomycetota; Actinomycetes; Propionibacteriales; Nocardioidaceae. The record is from RNAcentral.
CACGUGAGCAAUCUGCCCUUCACAUCGGGAUAACCCCCGGAAACGGGAGCUAAUACCGGAUACGACCACUUCAGGCAUCUGAUGGUGGUAGAAAGUUCCGGCGGUGGAGGAUGAGCUCGCGGCCUAUCAGCUUGUUGGUGGGGUAAUGGCCCACCAAGGCUUCGACGGGUAGCCGGCCUGAGAGGGUGACCGGCCACACUGGGACUGAGACACGGCCCAGACUCCUACGGGAGGCAGCAGUGGGGAAUAUUGCACAAUGGGCGAAAGCCUGAUGCAGCCAUGCCGCGUGUGUGAAGAAGG